CUCGUAGGCGGUUUGUCGCGUCGGGAGUGAAAUCCAUUGGCUUAACUGGUGGCUUGCUUUCGAUACGGGCAGACUGGAGGUAUGCAGGGGAGAACGGAAUUCCUAGUGUAGCGGUGAAAUGCGCAGAUAUCAGGAGGAACACCGGUGGCGAAGGCGGUUCUCUGGGCAUGUCCUGACGCUGAGGAGCGAAAGUGUGGGGAGCGAACA
Molecule: ribosomal RNA, 207 nt
Filed under: uncultured bacterium
Lineage: Bacteria
Description: partial 16S ribosomal RNA
Rfam family: Bacterial small subunit ribosomal RNA
Source: RNAcentral